CUGUGUGAAUUGCAGAAUCCCGUGAACCAUCGAGUCUUUGAACGCAAGUUGCGCCUGAAGCCAUCAGGCUGAGGGCACGUCUGCCUGGGCGUCA
Molecule: ribosomal RNA, 94 nt
Filed under: Morus alba (white mulberry)
Lineage: Eukaryota; Viridiplantae; Streptophyta; Magnoliopsida; Rosales; Moraceae
Description: partial 5.8S ribosomal RNA
Rfam family: 5.8S ribosomal RNA
About the family: 5.8S ribosomal RNA (5.8S rRNA) is a component of the large subunit of the eukaryotic ribosome. It is transcribed by RNA polymerase I as part of the 45S precursor that also contains 18S and 28S rRNA. Functionally, it is thought that 5.8S rRNA may be involved in ribosome translocation.
Source: RNAcentral